Molecule: long non-coding RNA, 1495 nt
Filed under: Prunus dulcis (almond)
Lineage: Eukaryota; Viridiplantae; Streptophyta; Magnoliopsida; Rosales; Rosaceae
Source: RNAcentral
CUUCUGAUAUUUUGAUCUGAGACUGAGAGAGACUUCUCUGCUGAACUAUCUCGAUCUAGAGACGUCGGCUCAUUUCCAUCGGAGAUUCUGAGAUUUUGCUGCAAAAUGGAGGACAUGGGAGGCCGACAUGGACUAACGAUUCGAAGAUGGAGGUUUAUGGGGAGGCCAGCAUACGAACAGUCGUCGUCGUCGCCCUUGGUGUUCGCAUCACGAGGGAUCUGCGGGAACUUUGCAUGAAAUUUUCGAAAGCGUAGCGUAAAUCUCUUACUCUCUUCUUUGAAUUCGUCAAUCUCUAGCGCAUCUCAAAUCCUAACUCCUGAGAACCUAUCCCUAACCCUAAUUUACCAUUUCAUUUUACCUUGUUUUAGAUCGAAGAAAUUUGUGCAUACGAACCGUCGUCGUCGGCCUUGGUGCUCUCGAUCUGCGAGAAAUUUGCAUGAAAUGUAAGUCUCCCACUCUUUUCUUUAAAUUCGUCAAUCUCUAGCAUGCCUCAAAUCCUAACCCUAACCUUAAUUUAUCAUUUCAUUUUACUACCUUGUUUUAGAUCGCAGAAGCUUGUCAUCGGCCUCGAUCUCCGAGACCUUGGCUGGGUUGCGUAAAGAGAAGCAUCUUCAGACCCAUUCAUUGCAUAGCUUCCACUUCCAGCGAAGAUCUUCAGGUGAAUGUUUGAAUUUUUGGUCUUUAAUCGAUUGGUUUGUUCGGAAUUGAAAGUUUUAGUUUGGACUCUGCUGAAUUUCUCAAUUAGAACGCUCAAGUGUUGGGUAACAUGACAAUUCAUAAGGUGCAAUGUCUGUUGUUACUGACUUUUAUCGUUUGCCUAUAAAUUAUGUGUGGCAAAAGCGAAUGGCUUUCAUCGAUGGCCAAAGUUGGCAUGGUCCCUUUAAUCCUUUUAGAAAAAGGUCUCUUUCAUGCAUUAUUACUAGUGUGGUUUCUCACUGCGAAGCAAAACACACAUGAAAUCGUAUUUGUACUUGUGUUUAAAUUGUGUAAGUUGUUUGUUGCAUGGUAUGUUUUAGCUGCAAUUCUAUGUUUUGUAUGUUUACUUUGUUAGAGUAAGCGAGAGAGCCUUAGAAUAUUAGAAAGCAAUGUGUGAAGUAGCUUCAGAAUAUAUAGGAAGUAAAGUUUUAAAGUUAUGAUGAAUGCUGAGGCAAAUAUUUGGGUUUGCUUGCGGUACAGUAUAGGCUGUAGCAGCCUGAAUAUGAUAAUGGUCAUAGUUUUGUAUGCUAUGUAGAAUUCAUGCUUAAAAUCAUAAUAGAUUUUGUUGAGGUGUAACCGUGUUAGUUAUUACCAGAGGCUGCUACAAGUGUUCUAAAGGGUUUGUGCCUUGACGUUAACGUCUUGUUUGUGGGGAUGAAAAAAUAUAUAACUAAACUAACUAUAAUAUUGUAAGUAUAGUAUGAAAAUACCCUUGAGGGAUCUUCUUUUUAAGUCUUAGUAAUAGGAUUCUUAUCUUAUAUUACAUUGUAUAGUCUUCCUCUGUUCAGGUUUGUUUUAU